Molecule: non-coding RNA, 637 nt
Organism: Chrysemys picta bellii (western painted turtle)
Lineage: Eukaryota; Metazoa; Chordata; Testudines; Emydidae
Source: RefSeq, a predicted model, not a curated record
CAGGGCAAAGAUAAGUGUGGUUUUCCCCAUAGGUUCUUUUGUGAGCUAGAAACAAACAGGACAUGAAAAGAAGAACAUGCAACAUGUAUUGCAUCCUGAUAUCAAAACAAGAAUACUGCAGAAAGUGCUUAGAAGAUAUUCUCUGUGUGCACUGGCCCUGUGAUCUACAAUUAAGGUCCUCUGAGGAAAAGGAAAACAGCGAACAUCUUAUUCUAUCUAUAUAUGCAUUUUAAGAAUAUUUUUCCAUCUUUGCAGCCGGAGAAGGUUCUAGAGCAGCUCCUUUUAGAAGAACAACAAAAAUAAAAGUGGAUUUCCCUACCUUUACAAGUCUGUCAGAUCCUUGAAAAGAAAUCAUACAGUAUGUCUCCUUUCAACAGCAUCUCUCAUCUUCUGCAUCUUCAUCCUCCUCAAGGUAAAAUGCCCUCUGCUUUCUUCCUUUUCCUCUGGUCGGUUGGGGUGUACCUUCCUGGGCUUGAGAUCUGUUUGAUAGUCACCUUUGCAUUCUAUGGCUAAGGGUCCAAUCUUGAGGCAUUUAUGCCACCACACCAUUUUAAAUUUACAAGGGGAAGCAAAAGCAGCUUCUGCACAGCAGAAAUACCCCCACUGCAGCCUGAGUCCCUUGCACCUGGCUCUGCAG